CUGAAAACAGCAGGCCUUGUUAUCUGGUAGCAGGCUGAAAACAGCAGGCCUUGUUGUCUGGUAGCAGGCUGAAAACAGCAGGCCUUGUUGUCUGGUAGCAGGCUGAAAACAGCAGGCCUUGUUGUCCGGUAGCAGGCUGAAAACAGCAGGCCUUGUUGUCCGGUAGCAGGCUGAAAACAGCAGGCAUUGUUGUCCGGUAGCAGGCUGAAAACAGCAAGCCUUGUUGUCCGGUAGCAGGCUGAAAACAGCAGGCAUUGUUGUCCGGUAGCAGGCUGAAAACAGCAAGCCUUGUUGUCCGGUAGCAGGCUGAAAACAGCAGGCAUUGUUGUCUGGUAGCAGGCUGAAAACAGCA
Molecule: long non-coding RNA, 352 nt
Organism: Oncorhynchus tshawytscha (Chinook salmon)
Lineage: Eukaryota; Metazoa; Chordata; Actinopteri; Salmoniformes; Salmonidae
Source: Ensembl